Long non-coding RNA from Cyprinodon variegatus (sheepshead minnow), 417 nucleotides. RefSeq lists it as uncharacterized. The transcript is spliced from 3 exons. The record is from RefSeq and is a predicted model, not a curated record. NCBI's taxonomy places the organism in Eukaryota, Metazoa, Chordata, Actinopteri, Cyprinodontiformes, Cyprinodontidae.
AUUCCAGGCACGAAUGUUUAUUUUUGUUGGAAACAUAACUGUCUGUGGCUAGAAAUUGGAAGAACAUUUUACCCGCCAGACUGCCAGUAAACUUACAAGCAGCUGUUACCACCCUCUUGUGGUGACCUAAUGAAUUUGCUCCUCUCAACAUGGAAUGACUGAUUCAACUUGGUGGAGAGAGACGUUUCUCUUCCAACAAGGGAUUUUAUAGUCUGCAAAAAAGCUGCGGAGUCACAAGGCAUGACUCCCAUAGAGAAGACAAUGGAGUCAAAGAUCCGAAGAGGAGAUGAGGCCAGAAGGCUCCCAGUGUGGUUGGAUGAUCCAUAAAGAAAAUGCCAGAGCUCUAUAAGUUUCUCAUGGAGCGAUGGGCUCUAUACCAUAACUUAGAGUAUGACUCAUCAGAGGAGAAGAAUCCCC